UUGGGGUUGGGGGUUAGGAGGGGAGGACAUGCUCUCUGCAAAUUAGGUGCAAACGAAGGCUCAGAAUGAGCGAGUUUGGGAAUGCCACUACACAGACCUUUGGGUCUGGGAUUUUGACACCUCGCUGGAUCUGGAGGGCACCCUUGGGUGGAGAGGCCAGGAGGACCCGAUUUCUGCCUAGCAACAUCACAACCAAUCAAGAUGCAAUUAAACCUGUCAGUUCGGCUCAUCCUUAACUGGGAUUGGCUACUCGCAGUAUGCUUAUCCCAAGUUUUCAUUGGCUGACGGCCACCUGUAUGGAAAUAAGAAUUACCCGGGACUCUCAGGCCCUUCUCAGCAGUACGGACCUGUGGCUUAGUGCGCUGAAACCUGCAAGGUCGGAGCCGAAACUCCUGGGCUUGCUUGUUGUCCUGCCUUCUCUUCCUCAAAGGAGAUCUCUUGAAUAUUCCCUUUUCCCUCUGCGCCCCUGCCUAAGGCCUAGUCUGAAAGAAGUCCGACCAAAUAACCUGAAAUAAUGCGGA
Molecule: long non-coding RNA, 521 nt
Organism: Gorilla gorilla gorilla (western lowland gorilla)
Lineage: Eukaryota; Metazoa; Chordata; Mammalia; Primates; Hominidae
Exons: 2
Source: RefSeq, a predicted model, not a curated record